This 253-nucleotide ribosomal RNA is filed under the name uncultured bacterium. Its description in RNAcentral is "partial 16S ribosomal RNA". It matches the Rfam family "Bacterial small subunit ribosomal RNA", at positions 524 to 776 of the family's 1533-position model. The record is from RNAcentral.
UACGGAGGGUGCAAGCGUUAUCCGGAUUUAUUGGGUUUAAAGGGUGCGUAGGCGGCUUUUUAAGUCAGCGGUGAAAUACUUCAGCUCAACUGGAGUCGUGCCGUUGAUACUGGGAAGCUUGAGUACUGAUGAAGUGGGCGGAAUUGAAGGUGUAGCGGUGAAAUGCAUAGAUAUCUUCAAGAACACCGAUUGCGAAGGCAGCUCACUAAGGAGUAACUGACGCUGAGGCACGAAAGCGUGGGUAGCAAACAGG